This 399-nucleotide long non-coding RNA is filed under the name Homo sapiens (human). RNAcentral describes it as "non-protein coding LINC00836:5". The record is from RNAcentral. Lineage: Eukaryota; Metazoa; Chordata; Mammalia; Primates; Hominidae.
CUGAUUCAUCAGCUCACAGUGAAACGAGCUUGCAUGAGAGCAUCCCAGGACCACUGAACAUUCAGAGGGCUGGAGGCAGAGAAAAACUUCCCCUACUCAAGAAAAAGAAGCUAUUUUUGUCAAGUUAAAUGAGCCUGAACCUGCAGAGCUGAAUUGGCAGAUGAAUAUUGCUAAUUGGUGCAGUUUCUUCGGUGCAGGAAAGAGUUUCCAAUCAGACCGGCAAUUCAUUGGCCACAUGAAGACUAGGAGAGGAAAUUAUCUCCAGGAAAAAUGCCAUGCAUGACCAGGGUUAAUGAUAUGGAACACACCCCACAAAGAUGCUUUGCCUUUGGGUACCAGGACUUCAAAUCCUACACAAUGAAGAUCAAAAAUGAAACCAAGAGAGAAAAGAAACAGUGC